Molecule: ribosomal RNA, 609 nt
Filed under: uncultured bacterium
Lineage: Bacteria
Description: bacterial SSU rRNA
Rfam family: Bacterial small subunit ribosomal RNA (bases 1-520)
Source: RNAcentral
CCUACGGGAGGCAGCAGUGGGGAAUUUUCCGCAAUGGGCGAAAGCCUGACGGAGCAAUACCGCGUGAGGGAGGAAGGCUCUUGGGUUGUAAACCUCUUUUUUCAGGGAAGAUAAUGACGGUACCUGAGGAAUAAGCAUCGGCUAACUCCGUGCCAGCAGCCGCGGUAAUACGGAGGAUGCAAGCGUUAUCCGGAAUGAUUGGGCGUAAAGCGUCCGCAGGUGGUUUUAAAAGUCUGUUGUUAAAGCGUGAGGCUUAACCUCAUAAGGGCAAUGGAAACUGUAAGACUAGAGUACGUUCGGGGCAAGGGGAAUUCCCAGUGUAGCGGUGAAAUGCGUAGAGAUUGGGAAGAACACCGGUGGCGAACGCGCCUUGCUAGGCCGUAACUGACACUGAGGGACGAAAGCUAGGGGAGCGAAUGGGAUUAGAUACCCCAGUAGUCCUAGCCGUAAACGAUGGAUACUAGGCGUUGUCUGUAUACGACCGACGAGUGCGUACGACUACGUACGUAGUACUACCGUCCGUCGGUAGGUACGACGACGCAGUAGUGUAACUACAAUAGUAAGUUAGACGGCGUGAGACGUCGCCGACGACGACGACGAGGGAGUAGG